AGUGAACGCUGGCGGUAGGCCUAACACAUGCAAGUCGAACGGCAGCACAGGAGAGCUUGCUCUCUGGGUGGCGAGUGGCGGACGGGUGAGGAAUACAUCGGAAUCUACUUUUUCGUGGGGGAUAACGUAGGGAAACUUACGCUAAUACCGCAUACGACCUACGGGUGAAAGCAGGGGCUCUUCGGACCUUGCGCGAUUGAACGAGCCGAUGUCGGAUUAGCUAGUUGGCGGGGUAAAGGCCCACCAAGGCGACGAUCCGUAGCUGGUCUGAGAGGAUGAUCAGCCACACUGGAACUGAGACACGGUCCAGACUCCUACGGGAGGCAGCAGUGGGGAAUAGUGGACAAUGGGCGCAAGCCUGAUCCAGCAAUACCGCGUGGGUGAAGAAGGCCCUCGGGUUGUAAAGCCCUUUUGUUGGGAAAGAAAUCCAGCUGGUUAAUACCCGGUUGGGAUGACGGUACCCAAAGAAUAAGCACCGGCUAACUUCGUGCCAGCCGCCGCAGUAA
This 506-nucleotide ribosomal RNA is filed under the name uncultured bacterium. RNAcentral describes it as "partial 16S ribosomal RNA". It matches the Rfam family "Bacterial small subunit ribosomal RNA", at positions 29 to 523 of the family's 1533-position model. The record is from RNAcentral.